Molecule: long non-coding RNA, 1200 nt
Filed under: Heterocephalus glaber (naked mole-rat)
Lineage: Eukaryota; Metazoa; Chordata; Mammalia; Rodentia; Bathyergidae
Description: lncRNA (ENSHGLG00100040997.1)
Source: RNAcentral
GAGUAAUUGAACGUCAGUCUUAACACAGGUAAAUGAGUAAACAAACAAAUAUAUUCUAUGGUUCACAACAUUUUGUUUCUAUAGAUGCCUGAACUAAAUUGCACAGGAAAGUUCCCAGAACAUUGCAACCCAAAGGCAAACACGUGAAGUCACUCAGGGAAAGGAUGCAUAAUCAAGAACCUCAUGAUGACAUGCGAUCGACAAUGGACUGCAGAUAUGGAAUUAUACUGCCUGGAGAUGCUGUAGCUGUCUUAGUUUGUCUGAAUUGCACUAUGAUGUUUGCACAAUGAGAAAAAUCCCUUAACAAUGAAUUUCUCAGGAAGUUCACCAAUCAUUCAGGGAUACAUGACUGUGUUGUCCUCGCCGCCCCUUGUAGGUGUGCUUCACUUAAGCAAUGGAUACUCACCAAAAAUUCAGGAAUUCUGGGCUUUGUGGCACUUGUAAUUCCAGCACUCAGAAGGCUGAACCAGGAGGAUGGCUACGAGUUUGACACCAGCUUGGGCUACACAGCUCCAGCAAUGAGAAAGACAAAGGCAAAGAAAGAGAGAGAAGCCAGACCCAGGAAGGUGCCAGCCCAGCCUCAGUCUCAAGUUCCUGUUCCAGGUGCCAACUGUAGCUGACCCAUCCUUGACAGCCUUGUUCCAGGACGCAGACCAGUACUUUGUUCUCCCUGACCCAGGUGCGAAUGAGGAUGAAUGAUAGAGAUGGAGUCCAUUUAACAUGUGGGCAGCCAGGGGCUCUUGCCUCUUAGUAAGCAGAGGAGCCCCCUGAUCAAAGUAACACAAGAGUCAUCUGCUUUCCAAUACCCAUCAGGACAUCUCAGGUAAACAACUUAGCCUCAGACGUCUUGGGUUUUCCCUGCAAUGUGCAGUCACCCCGAGUGCAGCCUUUCUCCUUUGUGCUCAGAGGAGGCCAGUGAGGCCUCAGUGCUCCUCUGGUCUCCCACAAACCAUCUUCCUUUAUUUUAAACCCUGCCUCUUUCAUUCAUUGCUGGUGCCGAGUUUGCUGUCCAGGUAGGAUCCUGGUAUCUGCAUGUACCAGCAGAGCAGGGUCAUGACAGUGUACACCCCCCGAUGGGACAUGAUCAUUAGGGAUAUAAUUUAUUUUUUUGUUUGUUUAUUUAUUUUUUGGUACCAGAGAUCGAACUCAGGUCCUUGCGCUUGCACAGCAGGCAGCGAAAUCACUGAGCUAAAUCCCCGG